Molecule: ribosomal RNA, 1377 nt
Filed under: Triticum aestivum (bread wheat)
Lineage: Eukaryota; Viridiplantae; Streptophyta; Magnoliopsida; Poales; Poaceae
Description: partial small subunit ribosomal RNA
Source: RNAcentral
AUGCUCCCGAGCUCAAGGACGUCGAACAUCUCGUGGAGGCGAUCCUCAUCCGCCUCCCGCCCGACGAGCCUGAAACCUUGGUUCGCGCCUCCCUCGUCUGCAAGCCGUGGUGCCGCCUCCUCUCCGACCAUGGCUUCCGCAGCCGCUACCGCACCUUCCACAAGAAGAAACCCCCCCCUGCUCGGUUUCUUCCACAGUGUGUACCGCGGUGCCCCCUUCAUCUCCACCACCAAGUUUCUCCCGCGCGAUCCCCGACACUGCUAUGACUAUUCUGUGGUCGACUGCCGCCACGGCCGCGCCCUCCUCAGGUAUUUUGACGAGGAUGAGAACCGGCUCUACCUGGUCGUCUGGGACCCCAUGACGGGCAACGCCAGGAAGGUGCGGCGUCCACAGAGCUACGAUAGUGUUCCAACAGAUUGGAGCGCAGCUGUGCUUUGUGCUGUGCGCGGCUGCGACCACGUGGCUUGCCACUUGGGCCCAUUCUUCGUUGUCUUCCUCACCCUUCAUGAGGGCGAGGGGGUGGCCACGGCCACCGUUUACUCGUCCGAGACAAGGACUUGGAGCUCUCGGUCAUCCCUUCACCUUGGUGUUUUUGAAGAUGAACUGCGCUUGCCUAGCAUCACCACAUUGCUCACCGGAGGUGCGAUCCAUUAUCUCUUUGUGCGCGAUGCUCUCGCUGGUAUUCUCAAGUACGACUUGGGCACGUCUUGCUUGUCAGAGGUUGAGCUGCUGCUGGAGAUUCCGGUCGAGGACUACGAGUACUAUCCGGUCCUCAUUGCACCGGAUGAGGACGAUGGUCGGCUGGGGAUUGCAGAUCUGGACGACGAAAACCUCGACCUCUCCUUGUGGUGGAGGGAGGUUGGUCCCGACCAAGUUGCAGCAUGGACACAACGAACAGUCAUCAACCUCAAGAAUCAUGUCCAUGUAGACCGUCCAGAUGCACCAAGUUGGUUGCGUGGCUCUAUUGAAGGCACGGCCAUAGUUUUUGUAAUCACAGAUCUUGGCACCUACAAGAUUGAUCUCAAGUUACUCCCUCGUUCCCUAAGUUGCGAGAAGCUAAAGCUCUCGAAAGAGUUUUCUGAAUCUGACAGUAUACACACCCUCAUCCCCUAUUUAAGCUUUUACAGUCUACCAGGGGCACAAAUAGAGAAACUGGUUGAUUCAGGAGCAAGUGAAACGGGCAGCGACGAGGAAUUGGGAGAAAGUGAGGCUGGAAGCAGCGAUGAGGACAUGAAAGAAACUGAUGCUGGGAGCAGCGAUGAUGAAGGAGGAGAAAGUGAAACAGGAAGCAGCGACGAGGAAUCGGGAGAAAGUGAAGCUGGAACCAGCGACGAGGAAAUGGAAGAAUGUGAUGCUGGGAGCAGCGAUGAUCAAUGA